UAGUCCACGCCGUAAACGAUGGAUACUAGCUGUUGGGCGCAAGUUCAGUGGCUAAGCGAAAGUGAUAAGUAUCCCACCUGGGGAGUACGAACGCAAGUUUGAAACUCAAAGGAAUUGACGGGGGCCCGCACAAGCGGUGGAGCAUGUGGUUUAAUUCGAUGAUACGCGAGGAACCUUACCAAGGCUUAAAUGUAGAUUGACAGGACUGGAAACAGUUUUUUCUCGGACAAUUUACAAGGUGCUGCAUGGUUGUCGUCAGCUCGUGCCGUGAGGUGUCAGGUUAAGUCCUAUAACGAGCGCAACCCCUGUUGUUAGUUGCCAGCGAGUCAUGUCGGGAACUCUAGCAAGACUGCCAGUGUAAACUGUGAGGAAGGUGGGGAUGACGUCAAAUCAUCACGGCCCUUACGCCUUGGGCUACACACGUGCUACAAUGGACGGUACAGAGAGCAGCCACUAUGCAAAUAGGCGCGAAUCUAUAAAACCGUUCUCAGUUCGGAUCGG
Molecule: ribosomal RNA, 501 nt
Filed under: uncultured bacterium
Lineage: Bacteria
Description: bacterial SSU rRNA
Rfam family: Bacterial small subunit ribosomal RNA
Source: RNAcentral